This 705-nucleotide long non-coding RNA is filed under the name Homo sapiens (human). Its description in RNAcentral is "BTG2 divergent transcript". The record is from RNAcentral. Lineage: Eukaryota; Metazoa; Chordata; Mammalia; Primates; Hominidae.
GCUAGGAACCUGCGCCCGGCUGAGCUGAGCGAGGCGAGAGGAGAAAGCGAGGCCCGGGGACGGGACUGAGAGCUCUGAAAGGAGGGAGGCGGCUCCCGAGUACUCCGCGCGGGGCAGGCCCCGGCCUCGCCUCUUCGCCCAUUUUUAAGGCUCGAGUUAGAGGCCACCUCCUCCGAGAAGCCUUCGGUGACACCACCUCUCCCAGACGGUUCCCCUUUCUGAUUCCCACAGCAUUUUCCAACCAUUCACGGGACCGCCACCAUCACAGGCACUCGGUAGAUGUCUGCUGAAUGAGGAUAACUUCUACCCAACACCGUGAAGCCUGGCCCAGGGUCUGGCAUACAGAUGCCGUGUUUGUAAGACCUAUUGGUUCCUCUAGUCCUGGUUGCUCAUCUCGCCCACUUGCACAGCCCACCUGUGUGGCCGACUCAGGAUUGACCCACCUGCUCUCUUCAGGCCAUAUUCCCACGCAGAAGUGGGUCCCACUCCUCAGGCCUCUGUGCUGGCCCCGUCUGUGGGGUUAGCAAGCAGCCCUGCUCUCCAUUUCCAGCUCAGAAGCAACUGGAUCGUUACCUCAUUGGUGACAACUUGACUGUGCUGCCCAGAGCUGAUAAGAAACAUCACCCGGGGAAGACCAGCUGCCUCUUCCUUGCUUCCUAAUCAGGGUGGAAAUACUGCUAAAUAUAUCACAACUCUUUGCAAGCA